AACGAACGCUGGCGGCAUGCCUAACACAUGCAAGUCGAACGAGACCUUCGUGCCUAUGUGCGCACGGGGGCUGAACGCGGGGGAACCUACCCUUAGGUUCCGUAUACCUCCCCGAAAGGGGUCCUAAUACCGGAUAAUGUCUUCCGGCCAACGAGUUAUGGCCAUUGGCUGGGCGUGCGUUGGAUUAGUGAGUUGGUAGUGGAAAAGCAUACCAAGGGCAGGAUGCAUAGCUGGUCUGGGAGGAUGAUCAGCCACGCUGGGGAUGCGACACGGCCCAGAAUCCGACGCGAGGGAGGAGAGGGGAAUAUAGGAGGAUGGGGGAAAGUCUGAUAAAGCAAUGCGGGGUGAGUGAUGAAGGCGUUAGGGUUGUAAAGCUCUUUUACCCGAGACGAUAAUGACGGUACCGGGAGAAUAAGCUCCGGCUAACUACGUG
This 433-nucleotide ribosomal RNA is filed under the name uncultured bacterium. RNAcentral's name for it is "partial 16S ribosomal RNA". It matches the Rfam family "Bacterial small subunit ribosomal RNA", at positions 29 to 507 of the family's 1533-position model. The record is from RNAcentral.